ACAAAAUCGUGUUAUUUUCAUCAAUGCGAACAUGAUGUGCAAUAUGCAUAAAGAAUAUUAUGAUUACAGUGUUAACAAAGCACAAAGUUAAUUUUCGGUUAUGCGCUGUUUGGAGUGCAAAAAAAAAAAAAAAAAAAAAAUGGGUUUUUCCGUAAUUAAUUAAUCGCAAUUAAUGCAUUAAAAUCCCAGCCCUAAUAAUUACAUAAAGAUGAUAAAAUUUUCAACUUUCUGCUAUAGUCAGUAUGUGACUUUACUGUUACACAACCUGAGAAAAAAAACCUCAUGUUUCAUGAUUGAAUAAAUAAUAAUGACAUUGUUAAAGUCAACAGACCUGUAACAUACUGAGCUGUCAUUGGGCUGACUCUGAGAGAGGAAUAUCACUGUGUCACCUUCCACUGUGGUUAAUGUGUUUACUAAUGUUCAAUAAGUCCAGCGACGUGCUGAGAAUGCCACGUGCUCUCAGGCACGACAUGCGUCACUCUGAGUGCGUCACUCAUGACGAGAAGUAUUGAAGUUAAAAAUGGACCUGAGAAUUAUUCAGAACUGCUUUUUAAGUACAGUUGCUCAUCAUAACAACUUACAAACAAAGACAUGCUGAGAAAAUAAAAAUAAUCUUAAUUUUCUGGUUAUUUACUUUGAGCCAAUGGCAGUAGAGACUUUUAUGGCACAAAAACAAUGUAAAUCCAAAGAUGCCACUCAUUCUUACACAAAAAACAAACUUAAAGAUUGAUUUUACAGACAGAUCGUCUUCUUUAGGAGGCUGCAGUUGCUUUGACUCAUUCACUGAUAUGAUGGGAUGUUUCUGUUGUGUAUGUUAUUGCCUAUAAGUGUAGGAACGAGGGUGUCCUCCUUCGUUUACUGCCCUCUGUGACAUUUGUUGCUGCAGUUGGUCAGAAGCAGGACAAUUUCUCAAUUCUUCCAGCAGUGGACAGCUGCAGCAGGAAUUACACUAAAGCUGCUCCUUUGGGCUGUUUUAUAACGUUGGAACGUUCACAGCAUUUGAAUGUCAUCAAAGGAAGGCCACCACAUUGUAAUCACCUAAAUAAGUUUGAGCACGAGGGAAAAUGUGGAGGAAGAAGGAGGGAGACACCACAAAGAGGAGGAACUGCAAGAUGUGCACAGGAAGCCUUUAGAGCCCGUACGAUGACCCCUGGGUGUCCAGCACAUAAAAGCACAUGUCUGGUGGUAACUGAGCCGGUAAUGAGGCGAGUUGUGAGCUGAGGAGUUUGCUGUUGACGACGAUCUGGAGGAUUCUUAAUAGACAGCUGUUGGCUCUGCUUCAAGUGAAGUUCCUGCUGAUCUGUUUGACAGCUGGGACCUGCUGCAGCCUGCACCAGUACAUGUCUCACUCCUACUGCAGAACACAGGACUGCUUUGGUUCCAUCAAAGUGUGUAGAUGAUUAAAGAAGAUUCACAUCUGUUUCAGCCCUGCCUUUCUACACUGUUGCGACUAUUAUUUCCCCUUUAAUAAAAAGUGCAACAACUGAUGUAAUGAAGCA
Molecule: long non-coding RNA, 1499 nt
Filed under: Gouania willdenowi (blunt-snouted clingfish)
Lineage: Eukaryota; Metazoa; Chordata; Actinopteri; Blenniiformes; Gobiesocidae
Description: lncRNA (ENSGWIG00000023340.1)
Source: RNAcentral